AAUGUGUCUAGUUGGUAAGCAUCAAGCUCCCUCUCAACCAUCUACCGCGAGAGUUCCUUUAAUUAUCGUUUUGUUUGAUAAUCAUGUUAAGAAUAUUGUCAAUGACGUGCUUAUCAAUUAUUUAUUGAGCUGUAUUAUGGAUUCUGGACCAGUUAACUGCACAUGUGACCGGCUAACGUUAGCAUCAUUCUAGCUAGGUAGCUACAUCUGAUAGCCACGUGUUGGACUAUUUCCAAGCCAUCUUCUCCUGUAGACCAACUGUACUUUACAACGUCCAUCAAUGCAUGGGCCCUCUCCUGUGAUGUCUUUGCACUGGGCUCUGAAACCAUGUGGAUAACGUGCCUCUCUGGACUUGACAAUCCGGAGACUGAGGAGACUAGCUACAGGGGUUAGCCUAGCCUAGUGGCGCCUCAUGGCAUCUCACUAACACGCCGACCUUCUCCUUGUCUUGCAGGAAGUGGAUCAGGCCACCAAGGAUCUCUGAGGUUAGUAUGAAUGUUUGGUUUUACGGGAGUAAGCUUAUAUUAUUAUUUUCUUAUGAUGUCUUUGCACUGGGCUCUGAAACUCUGUGGAUAGCGUGCCUCUCUGGACUUGACAAUCCAGAGACUGAGGAUAACAUGGAUGCAGUGACUUGGCCUUACGUACCUUUCAGCCGAUGAUUAUUAACGUGCUUUUUCUUCGUCUUGCAGGACGUGUGACCUAGUGCCAUGAGCUGACUGUAAACAUCAGAUGCUGCAUCUUCCUCAAUGGCGCCAUCUAGUGAGUGAUCGCUGAAAGUACAUCCAAAUAAUUUCGCGUAUUUUGUUUAUCCAAAUAAUGCCAAUAUUUCUUUGAAUAAAACUAUCUUUGUAACUAAUGUGUCUUUUAUUACGGGAGGGGCAAUGUAUUUCUAUCGACACUUGAGUAAUUAGAAACUUACAAUUAUUUAAUUACAUCUCUAUCCUCUAUUGACCAUAAAGGGUUACGCACAGAGCAUUGUUGUCUUGACUUAUCAGACAUUACACAGGCCUAGACAAUAAAAUCUCUGCUCAAACACACUUAAAAUAUCAAUCUGCUGAAAUGAAAAAGCAAUUAAUGCAGGCACCUACCCAAGCUGUCCAUGCUUCUUCUGUAGCGCCGGACAGCCAUCAGGUUGCCAUACAUAAUAACUUUCACUGACGGUCGCUGUUUGGUUCCUUAAUACCUUUCAGCAACAUAUAGGGGAAGAACAAAGUUCUGAGGUCUGUUUGAUUAGCCUUUAGUUAUGCUGAAUCUCAAAGUAACCAAGAGUAAAAUUCUGUCAUGUCAGAUUAUGAGUUAUCACUUGAAGUUUGAACUAAAUCAUUUGCUAUAAUUUUAUUUGGACUAUGAAAGGUUGGCUUCCGUGAGGGCAUUAUCGAAUGUUUACGAGCUAUUAUUUGGUCGAAAUCAAUGAAGAUUACAUCAUAAAAAUUUAUUCAGUGUAAUAUGAACUGAAUAUUCAGCUACACUACAGAAACACUCAGUUUUGCUGAAAUGUUUCUGAAUGUCUGGGAAUAUCUGGAUGAUUCCGAUUUAGCAAGACAGUUCAAUUGUGUAGGGAACACGGUUUGCAAGGAUCCUGUGUGUAAAGUUUGGCUGAAAGAAACCCAGGCUGAAAAUGUAGGAAUGAUAACGCUAUACAUUGUUAUACCACUAGACACUAUUUUCAAAUUUGCUUCUUGACACAUUUCAGCAGGAUUGAAUAGAUGGUGAUGACUUGUUUCUUCAUCUUUAUUAUAAUUCUAACAAUUUAAUCUCUUAAAACAUUUGAAAUUUGUUUAUAUGAAUGUGCGCAUAUGUAUAUCACAUACAUAUAUUCCGUUAUACCUUUAUCAGUUCAUAUCUUUAAAAGACCUCUUAAAAUAAAUUAAGUGCUUUCUAUACAGUGAGACCGAUCUGGAAUAUUUCUAGCAACAAAGGGGCUGCCUAUUAGUUCUCCUCACAAGGUACCCAAGAUUGAGGGGUAGCGAUACAAAAACAGGAUUUUUUUUCAUUUAUUUUCCCCAUCAAAUCAAGUGUAAGGACUUCAAUAUAGAAAGUCAUUUAUUUUCUCACUUGGGGAAACCGGCCCUUUAACCUGGCCUCAAUCCAGCCAACAGGUAGUUGGAUAUAACAAGCCCCAGGUGCAACACAUUUUACAAUAUUAACCCUUUAAGCAUGUAAUACGUGUUGCCUAGGGUUACAAUGAUCAUUGGGACAAGCAAUAAGGGCGAAAAAUGUCAGUUCUCGCUAUAAGCAAUUAAGUUAUUAAUAGCCGAGAUAUUAAUAAACUUAAAGGCUCAUCUCUGCAACAACAGAUUUGGACCAGAGGAUGUUUGAAUACUGUGGGGUUGUUAUCGACACUGUCUGUUCAACGAAGGGAAAGGGAAUAGAUUGAAAACAAAACUAGGUCAAACUGUAUAGAAGGCGGAGCAGUUAAAUAACAAACACGUCGAAACCAUUUUCAUGUCAAACUGUAUAGAAGGCGGAGCAGUUAAAUAACAAACACAUCGAAACCAUUUUCAUGUCAAACAUUUGGAAGACAGAGAUUCUGUAGAACUUUUGAGACAUUUUUCACAUCUUAAAACCAUAAUUAGGAUGACCAUUACUUUCAUCGUCCUUAUUGCUAGACAAAUCGCAUUUCAAUAUGUAUCUCUCCUAGACUACCGGCCUUUUACAGCCACAGAAAAAUAGAUAUACCUGUUAUAUAUAAUCUCUGAUCGUUGAUCAAUGGCUUGUGAGCACGCGCACAGUACGCAAACGGAUGUAGAAACGAUGCGGUGGUCUGCCU
Molecule: long non-coding RNA, 2770 nt
Organism: Gadus chalcogrammus (walleye pollock)
Lineage: Eukaryota; Metazoa; Chordata; Actinopteri; Gadiformes; Gadidae
Exons: 3
Source: RefSeq, a predicted model, not a curated record